GUUUUGGAUUUUAAGGAAUCAAACAAAGAUUAUAAAUCAAGAGUAGUUUCAUUUCUUUUUUCUCUUUCUUCUCUCUUCCCUCCCUUUUUUAAAGCAAUAAAUGUUUAAAUGAUUUUAUUAAAUUUUAACUCCUCCCUCACAAGAAAAAAAUAUAAAUAAAUAAAAUAAAAAUAAAUAAAUAAAUAACUAAGAUAAGCUUUAAAACACACUGAAAGUAAUUAAGAAAUAAGAAAGCCAAAAAAAAAAAAAAAAAAAAAAAGAAGGAAAUUUAUGAAUAUAUAAAUAAAUAUCAGGAAAUACCAAUGUAAAGAGGUAAAUAGAAAAAAGAAAUGAGAACCACUUGCAUUCACUUUCACUUUCUCUCAGUCUCUCAUACACACAUACAAUUCUUACUUACAUACACACAUACAUUACUUAAUUAUGUACAUAAUUAUUGUUUACAAUUAUAUGCAUCAAAGAAUAAACAAAAUCUAAUCAAAAAAUUUGCUCACAGAUUAAUAUCAUACUCUAUGGUGGAAAUAUAUAUUGUAAUGGGGUCCAAAAUUUUUCAUAUACAUCAACAUUAUUAUUUUUCUUUGCAAUAUAAUAUUCAUAUGACUGAUAUUGUUUUAUUCUAUUUUUAAAACCAAAAAUAUUAGGAGUAAGUUCCUUAAACUUACAUUUAUAUAUAUAAUUUUUUGCUACUAUAAAUAAAAGAUUCAUGAAUAAGCUUUCUGAAUAGAAACCAAGGAAUAUCUGCUUUUUACUGAUGGCAAAAUCCCUGCUAUACAAUCUUAUUUGCUGUAAUAAUGAUGACCAAAAUUGAUAUGUUAUUGGACAAUCAUAGAAAAAAUGUACAAUAGUUUCGUCAUCAAGUUUACAAAAAGUACAUGAACUAGAAUCUUUCUUCUUUAUCUUGUACAAAAAAGAGUUUGUAGGAAUUAUUUGG
Molecule: long non-coding RNA, 928 nt
Filed under: Mytilus galloprovincialis (Mediterranean mussel)
Lineage: Eukaryota; Metazoa; Mollusca; Bivalvia; Mytilida; Mytilidae
Source: RNAcentral